This 429-nucleotide ribosomal RNA is filed under the name Gemmatimonadota bacterium. RNAcentral describes it as "Gemmatimonadetes bacterium partial 16S ribosomal RNA". It matches the Rfam family "Bacterial small subunit ribosomal RNA", at positions 355 to 776 of the family's 1533-position model. The record is from RNAcentral. Lineage: Bacteria; Pseudomonadati; Gemmatimonadota.
UAGGGAAUCUUCGGCAAUGGACGAAAGUCUGACCGAGCAACGCCGCGUGAGUGAAGAAGGUUUUCGGAUCGUAAAACUCUGUUGUUAGAGAAGAACAAGGACGUUAGUAACUGAACGUCCCCUGACGGUAUCUAACCAGAAAGCCACGGCUAACUACGUGCCAGCAGCCGCGGUAAUACGUAGGUGGCAAGCGUUGUCCGGAUUUAUUGGGCGUAAAGCGAGCGCAGGCGGUUUCUUAAGUCUGAUGUGAAAGCCCCCGGCUCAACCGGGGAGGGUCAUUGGAAACUGGGAGACUUGAGUGCAGAAGAGGAGGGUGGAAUUCCAUGUGUAGCGGUGAAAUGCGUAGAGAUAUGGAGGAACACCAGUGGCGAAGGCGGCUCUCUGGUCUGUAACUGACGCUGAGGCUCGAAAGCGUGGGGAGCAAACAGG